AGCGGCGAAAGGGAGAGGACAACAUGGGAAUCUGCCCGGGGGUCGAGGAUAGCGUCGGGAAACUGACGGUAAUACUCGAUAAUGUUUACGGACCAAAGGUUUACUGCCCCUGGAUGAGCCCAUGCCCCAUUAGCUAGUUGGCGGUGUAAUAGACCACCAAGGCGAUGAUGGGUAGCUGGUGUGAGAGCACGACCAGCCUCACUGGCACUGAGACACUGGCCAGACACCUACGGGUGGCUGCAGUCGAGAAUCUUCGGCAAUGGACGAAAGUCUGACCGAGCGACGCCGCGUGCGGGACGAAGGCCUUCGGGUUGUAAACCGCUGUCGAGGGGGAUUGAGGGCAACUUGAAAGAACCCUGGAGGAAGGAGAGGCUAAGCUCGUGCCAGCAGCCGCGGUAAGACGAGCUCUCCAAACGUUAUUCGGUAUCACUGGGCUUAAAGAGUUCGUAGGCGGCUUUACAGGUGGGGUGUGAAAGCCCUCGGCUCAACCGAGGAAUUGCGCCCCAAACCGUAAGGCUUGAGGGAUAUAGGGGUAAGCGGAACAGAUGGUGGAGCGGUGAAAUGCAUUGAUAUCAUCUGGAACACCGGUGGCGAAGGCGGCUUACUGGAUAUUUUCUGACGCUGGGGAACGAAAGCUAGGGUAGCGAACGGGAUUAGAUACCCCGGUAGUCCUAGCCGUAAACGAUGAGCACUAGUUUGA
This 700-nucleotide ribosomal RNA is filed under the name uncultured bacterium. RNAcentral describes it as "bacterial SSU rRNA". It matches the Rfam family "Bacterial small subunit ribosomal RNA", at positions 94 to 824 of the family's 1533-position model. The record is from RNAcentral.